GCGAGCGAAGCGGGAAGAGCUCAAAUUUAUAAUCUGGCACCUUCGGUGUCCGAGUUGUAAUCUCUAGAAAUGUUUUCCGCGUUGGACCGCACACAAGUCUGUUGGAAUACAGCGGCAUAGUGGUGAGACCCCCGUAUAUGGUGCGGACGCCCAGCGCUUUGUGAUACAUUUUCGAAGAGUCGAGUUGUUUGGGAAUGCAGCUCAAAUUGGGUGGUAAAUUCCAUCUAAAGCUAAAUAUUGGCGAGAGACCGAUAGCGAACAAGUACCGUGAGGGAAAGAUGAAAAGCACUUUGGAAAGAGAGUUAACAGUACGUGAAAUUGUUGGAAGGGAAACGCUUGAAGUCAGACUUGCUUGCUGAGCAAUCGGUUUGCAGGCCAGCAUCAGUUUUCCGGGAUGGAUAAUGGUAGAGAGAAGGUAGCAGUUUCGGCUGUGUUAUAGCUCUCUGCUGGAUACAUCUUGGGGGACUGAGGAACGCAGUGUGCCUUUGGCGGGGGUUUCGACCUCUUCACACUUAGGAUGCUGGUGGAAUGGCUUUAAACGACCCGUCUU
Molecule: ribosomal RNA, 550 nt
Filed under: Rhodotorula mucilaginosa
Lineage: Eukaryota; Fungi; Basidiomycota; Microbotryomycetes; Sporidiobolales; Sporidiobolaceae
Description: LSU rRNA
Rfam family: Eukaryotic large subunit ribosomal RNA
Source: RNAcentral